This 379-nucleotide ribosomal RNA is filed under the name uncultured bacterium. RNAcentral's name for it is "partial 16S ribosomal RNA". It matches the Rfam family "Bacterial small subunit ribosomal RNA", at positions 355 to 727 of the family's 1533-position model. The record is from RNAcentral.
UAGGGAAUCUUCCACAAUGGACGCAAGUCUGAUGGAGCAACGCCGCGUGAGUGAAGAAGGUUUUCGGACCGUAAAGCUCUGUUGUUGGUGAAGAAGGAUAGAGGUAGUAACUGGCCUUUAUUUGACGGUAAUCAACCAGAAAGUCACGGCUAACUACGUGCCAGCAGCCGCGGUAAUACGUAGGUGGCAAGCGUUGUCCGGAUUUAUUGGGCGUAAAGCGAGCGCAGGCGGAAGAAUAAGUCUGAUGUGAAAGCCCUCGGCUUAACCGAGGAAUUGCAUCGGAAACUGUUUUCUUGAGUGCAGAAGAGGAGAGUAGAACUCCAUGUGUAGCGGUGGAAUGCGUAGAUAUAUGGAAGAAUCACAGGUGGCAGAGGCGCUC